GCAAGUCGAGCGGAAACGACAAUAUUGACUCUUUGGAGGAUUUGUUGGGCGUCGAGCGGCGGACGGGUGAGUAAUGCCUAGGAAAUUGCCUUGAUGUGGGGGAUAACCAUUGGAAACGAUGGCUAAUACCGCAUAAUGCCUACGGGCCAAAGAGGGGGAUCUUCGGACCUCUCGCGUCAAGAUAUGCCUAGGUGGGAUUAGCUAGUUGGUGAGGUAAUGGCUCACCAAGGCGACGAUCCCUAGCUGGUCUGAGAGGAUGAUC
RNAcentral lists this ribosomal RNA (262 nucleotides) under uncultured bacterium. RNAcentral describes it as "partial 16S ribosomal RNA". It matches the Rfam family "Bacterial small subunit ribosomal RNA", at positions 57 to 305 of the family's 1533-position model. The record is from RNAcentral.